UAACCCCAGAUGGUUUGCUUUCCUAAGCAUUCGAGACACAUUCUUCUCAUUUGAAAGCUUUGUGACUUACUCAACAACCCCUGUAUCUCAACUAUGUUAAAGAUACAUAGAAAAGAGAUGACAUCACAGAGCUGAUUUCGGUCUUUCAGCUCUGUGCUUAGCUAAAGUUGAGCAGUUGCAAUGAGUCAUGCAAUCUUGUGACCAGGCCGGGCGCUCUUCCAACCAGAGAGACAGUUAAGAUCUCUGACAACAGAACCUGUAGUUGUUUGAAGAGGAGGUAACAACAGGCCCUGGACACUCGGUGAUCCCAGGUUUGUAUAACAUUUUGUACUGGUGAUGCUGGAUGUCCGUGUGAGACAUCUGUGGCUGGGGCUGGACGCCCCCCUCCGUAUCUAGGGACGCCCCCCUUGCAUGGGGACUGGGACUGUGGGAUUUCCAGCCAUGUCCUGUUGACUUGAACCGACUCAGCAGGCACUGCCAUCCUGGGAAACCAAGAAACCUCCUCGUCUCUGGCUUGCUGCGAUCUCCUGGGCUUUAUAAUCAGGCUGCCUUCACAGACACAUUCCUCAAAGCUCGUUUGGAGCAUACAUAUUUUUAAUACAAGAAGCCUGUUGGGAGAAAAACACGAGAUGAAUGUAUUUCUCACCAAAACUCAUAACUCUUUGCUUCCUCCACUAGCUUUUACUAGGACUUGACAAAAAUGGAAAUAGUCUCUCUAGGUAGGAAUUUGUUGUUUUCAUUCAUUUAUAACACGUGAACUGCCCUCUGUUGCCUCUUUCCCUGCUUGGUCUGCCUUCCUUUGAAUUCUCGUGUAAUUUUAACGGUUGUACAAUUUUUUGUGUUGUUGGGAAAUCACUAAUUGUGAAACAUGUUAAACUGAGCACAUUUAAAAAUAACCUAGCCUCUCCUACUGUUUGGGUAGAGCCGUUUGCUUGUUUGGGGUUGCUAAUGGGAAUAAGUGACCAUGUGUGCAGUACCUCUCGAGCCAGCUUGUUUGCUCAGAGGAAAGAAUUCAUUGAAAAGCCAUAGACUACAUUCCAGAAUGUUGGCCAACCACUUUGCAAAAGUAUACUGUUGGGUCACAGCAAGGCGCGCCAUCGCUCCUGGAAAAGCAACUCCAAAUGUCUGCCCGGGGGACAGAGAUCUUGUUGCAGGAUGUCCAUAUAGGCAAUGCUACUACGCAUUUUUAUUAGUGGUUCUUCCCUGCUCCUCCUAAUAAAAUGCUAUUGGAAUAUUUAGUCUCUGGAA
This is a long non-coding RNA of Canis lupus familiaris (dog), 1248 nucleotides long. RefSeq lists it as uncharacterized. The transcript has 2 exons. The record is from RefSeq and is a predicted model, not a curated record. Lineage: Eukaryota; Metazoa; Chordata; Mammalia; Carnivora; Canidae.